RNAcentral lists this ribosomal RNA (440 nucleotides) under uncultured bacterium. RNAcentral's name for it is "partial 16S ribosomal RNA". It matches the Rfam family "Bacterial small subunit ribosomal RNA", at positions 338 to 795 of the family's 1533-position model. The record is from RNAcentral.
CCUACGGGUGGCAGCAGUAGGGAAUAUUGCUCAAUGGGGGAAACCCUGAAGCAGCAACGCCGCGUGGAGGAUGAAGGUUUUAGGAUUGUAAACUCCUUUUGUGAGAGAAGAUAAUGACGGUAUCUCACGAAUAAGCACCGGCUAACUCCGUGCCAGCAGCCGCGGUAAUACGGAGGGUGCAAGCGUUAUUCGGAAUCACUGGGCGUAAAGGGUGCGCAGGGGGGCUUGUAAGUCAGAUGUGAAAUCCUGUAGCUUAACUACAGAACUGCAUUUGAAACUAUGGGUCUUGAGUGUGGGAGGGGUAAGUGGAAUUCUUGGUGUAGGGGGGAAAUGCGGAGAUAUCAAGAAGAAUACUCAUUGCGAAGGCGACCUACUGGAACAUUACUGACGCUGAUGCACGAAAGCGUGGGGAGCAAACAGGAUUAGAUACCCCAGUAGUC